GCACAAGCGGUGGAGUAUGUGGUUAAUUCGAUGCAACGCGAAGAACCUUACCUGGUCUUGACAUCCCGGAGACCCUUAGGAAACUAGGGGGUGCUUCCAUCUGGAAGAAUCUGGAGACAGGUGCUGCAUGGCUGUCGUCAGCUCGUGUCGUGAGAUGUUGGGUUAAGUCCCGCAACGAGCGCAACCCUUGCCUUUAGUUGCCAGCAGUUCGGCUGGGCACUCUAAAGGGACUGCCGGUGUUAAACCGGAGGAAGGUGGGGAUGACGUCAAGUCCUCAUGGCCUUUAUGACCAGGGCUACACACGUACUACAAUGGCCGAUACAAAGGGCAGCGACACUGCGAGGUGAAGCCAAUCCCGUAAAAUCGGUCUCAGUCCGGAUUGGAGUCUGCAACUCGACUCCAUGAAGUUGGAAUCGCUAGUAAUCGUGGAUCAGCAUGCCACGGUGAAUACGUUCCCGGGCCUU
RNAcentral lists this ribosomal RNA (464 nucleotides) under uncultured Desulfobulbus sp. RNAcentral's name for it is "bacterial SSU rRNA". It matches the Rfam family "Bacterial small subunit ribosomal RNA", at positions 923 to 1382 of the family's 1533-position model. The record is from RNAcentral. Lineage: Bacteria; Pseudomonadati; Thermodesulfobacteriota; Desulfobulbia; Desulfobulbales; Desulfobulbaceae.